UAGGGAAUCUUCGGCAAUGGGGGGAACCCUGACCGAGCAACGCCGCGUGAGUGAAGAAGGUUUUCGGAUCGUAAAGCUCUGUUGUUAAGGAAGAACGUGUGUGAGAGUGGAAAGUUCACACAAUGACGGUACUUAACCAGAAAGGGACGGCUAACUACGUGCCAGCAGCCGCGGUAAUACGUAGGUCCCGAGCGUUGUCCGGAUUUAUUGGGCGUAAAGCGAGCGCAGGCGGUUAGAUAAGUCUGAAGUGAAAGGCAGUGGCUCAACCAUUGUAGGCUUUGGAAACUGUUUAACUUGAGUGCAGAAGGGGAGAGUGGAAUUCCAUGUGUAGCGGUGAAAUGCGUAGAUAUAUGGAGGAACACCGGUGGCGAAAGCGGCUCUCUGGUCUGUAACUGACGCUGAGGCUCGAAAGCGUGGGGAGCGAACAGG
RNAcentral lists this ribosomal RNA (429 nucleotides) under uncultured Streptococcus sp. RNAcentral's name for it is "bacterial SSU rRNA". It matches the Rfam family "Bacterial small subunit ribosomal RNA", at positions 355 to 776 of the family's 1533-position model. Lineage: Bacteria; Bacillati; Bacillota; Bacilli; Lactobacillales; Streptococcaceae. The record is from RNAcentral.